AAAAAAUUAGUUAAAUAAUAUAACAUUAGUUUGUCAAACUAAAAUUAUCUCAAUUAAUUGAUAUUUUUUA
This 70-nucleotide transfer RNA is filed under the name Lutzomyia trinidadensis. RNAcentral describes it as "tRNA-Asp". The record is from RNAcentral. Lineage: Eukaryota; Metazoa; Arthropoda; Insecta; Diptera; Psychodidae.